Molecule: ribosomal RNA, 490 nt
Filed under: uncultured bacterium
Lineage: Bacteria
Description: partial 16S ribosomal RNA
Rfam family: Bacterial small subunit ribosomal RNA
Source: RNAcentral
AUUGAACGCUGGCGGCAGGCCUAACACAUGCAAGUCGAACGGUAACAGGAAGCAGCUUGCUGCUUUGCUGACGAGUGGCGGACGGGUGAGUAAUGUCUGGGAAACUGCCUGAUGGAGGGGGAUAACUACUGGAAACGGUAGCUAAUACCGCAUAACGUCGCAAGACCAAAGAGGGGGACCUUCGGGCCUCUUGCCAUCGGAUGUGCCCAGAUGGGAUUAGCUAGUAGGUGGGGUAACGGCUCACCUAGGCGACGAUCCCUAGCUGGUCUGAGAGGAUGACCAGCCACACUGGAACUGAGACACGGUCCAGACUCCUACGGGAGGCAGCAGUGGGGAAUAUUGCACAAUGGGCGCAAGCCUGAUGCAGCCAUGCCGCGUGUAUGAAGAAGGCCUUCGGGUUGUACAGUACUUUCAGCGGGGAGGAAGGGAGUAAAGUUAAUACCUUGGCUCAUUGACGUUACCCGCAGAAGAAGCACCGGCUAACUCCGUG